Molecule: ribosomal RNA, 545 nt
Filed under: uncultured bacterium
Lineage: Bacteria
Description: bacterial SSU rRNA
Rfam family: Bacterial small subunit ribosomal RNA
Source: RNAcentral
GGAAUCUUGCGCAAUGGGCGAAAGCCUGACGCAGCAACGCCGCGUGCGGGAAGAAGGCUUUCGGGCUGUAAACCGCUUUCAGUAGGAACGAAACUGACGGUACCUACAGAAGAAGGAGCGGCCAACUAUGUGCCAGCAGCCGCGGUGACACAUAGGCUCCAAGCGUUGUCCGGAUUUAUUGGGCGUAAAGAGCUCGUAGGCGGUUGAGUAAGUCGGGUGUGAAAACUUUGGGCUUAACCCAAAGAUGCCACUCGAUACUGUUCAACUUGAGUUUGGUAGGGGAGUGGGGAAUUCCUUGUGUAGCGGUGAAAUGCGCAGAUAUAAGGAGGAACACCGGUGGCGAAGGCGCCACUCUGGGCCAAUACUGACGCUGAGGAGCGAAAGCGUGGGGAGCAAACAGGAUUAGAUACCCUGGUAGUCCACGCGGUAAACGGUGGUCACUAGGUGUGGGUCUCUAACCAAUGAGAUCCGCGCCGUCGCUAACGCAUUAAGUGACCCGCCUGGGGAGUACGGUCGCAAGACUAAAACUCAAAGGAAUUGACGGA